UACGUAGGGUGCGAGCGUUGUCCGGAAUUAUUGGGCGUAAAGAGCUCGUAGGCGGCCUGUCGCGUCGGAUGUGAAAGCCCGGGGCUUAACCCCGGGUCUGCAUUCGAUACGGGCUAGCUAGAAUUCGGUAGGGGAGACUGGAAUUCCUGGUGUAGCGGUGAAAUGCGCAGAUAUCAGGAGGAACACCGAUGGCGAAGGCAGGUCUCUGGGCCACUACUGACGCUGAGAAGCGAAAGCAUGGGGAGCGAACAGG
RNAcentral lists this ribosomal RNA (253 nucleotides) under uncultured bacterium. RNAcentral's name for it is "partial 16S ribosomal RNA". It matches the Rfam family "Bacterial small subunit ribosomal RNA", at positions 524 to 776 of the family's 1533-position model. The record is from RNAcentral.